This 402-nucleotide ribosomal RNA is filed under the name Pyropia yezoensis (susabi-nori). RNAcentral's name for it is "SSU rRNA". It matches the Rfam family "Eukaryotic small subunit ribosomal RNA", at positions 52 to 453 of the family's 1831-position model. The record is from RNAcentral. Lineage: Eukaryota; Rhodophyta; Bangiophyceae; Bangiales; Bangiaceae.
UGCAUGUCUAAGUAUAAACACUUUUAUACUCGUGAAACUGCGAAUGGCUCAUUAAAACAGUUAUAGUUCCUUUGGGAACAACACUACUUGGAUAACCGUAGUAAUUCUAGAGCUAAUACAUGCCUCAACGCCCGACUCACGAAGGGUGGUAUUUAUUGGAUAAAAAACCAUCGUGCUCUCCAGAGCGCUUUGAGAUGAUUCACAAUAACUUGUCGGAUCGCAUGGCCUCGUGCUGGCGACUCCUCAUUCAAAUUUCUGCCCUAUCAACUUUCGAUGGUAGAGUAUUGGUCUACCAUGGUGUCGACGGGUGACGGGGAAUUAGGGUUCGAUUCCGGAGAGGGAGCCUGAGAAACGGCUACCACAUCCAAGGAAGGCAGCAGGCGCGCAAAUUACCCAAUCCGG